This 74-nucleotide transfer RNA is filed under the name Faecalimonas umbilicata. Its description in RNAcentral is "tRNA-Arg". It matches the Rfam family "tRNA". Rfam says of the family: Transfer RNA (tRNA) molecules are approximately 80 nucleotides in length. Lineage: Bacteria; Bacillati; Bacillota; Clostridia; Lachnospirales; Lachnospiraceae. The record is from RNAcentral.
AGCAGGAUAGAGCAGUUGGAAGCUCGCCAGUCUCCUUAGCUGGAAGUCGGAGGUUCGAGUCCUUCUCCUGCAAC